RNAcentral lists this transfer RNA (76 nucleotides) under Acidimicrobiales bacterium. Its description in RNAcentral is "tRNA-Glu". It matches the Rfam family "tRNA". Rfam says of the family: Transfer RNA (tRNA) molecules are approximately 80 nucleotides in length. Their secondary structure includes four short double-helical elements and three loops (D, anti-codon, and T loops). Further hydrogen bonds mediate the characteristic L-shaped molecular structure. tRNAs have two regions of fundamental functional importance: the anti-codon, which is responsible for specific mRNA codon recognition, and the 3' end, to which the tRNAs corresponding amino acid is attached (by aminoacyl-tRNA synthetases). tRNAs cope with the degeneracy of the genetic code in two manners: having more than one tRNA (with a specific anti-codon) for a particular amino acid; and 'wobble' base-pairing, i.e. permitting non-standard base-pairing at the 3rd anti-codon position. The record is from RNAcentral. Lineage: Bacteria; Bacillati; Actinomycetota; Acidimicrobiia; Acidimicrobiales.
GCCCCGUUCGUCUAGCGGCCUAGGACGCUUGCCUCUCACGCAGGUAACACGGGUUCAAAUCCCGUACGGGGUGCAA